UAAAGUGGCGUACGGGUGAGUAACACGUGGAUCAUCUACCUCGAAGUGGGGAAUACCGAUGGGAAACCGUCGACAAUACCGCAUAAGCUCGAGAGAGGAAAGCCGAAAGGCGCUUCGAGAGGAGUCCGCGGCCGAUUAGCUAGUUGGCAGGGUAAAAACCUACCAAGGCAACGAUCGGUAGCCGGCCUGAGAGGGCACACGGCCACACUGGCACUGAAACACGGGCCAG
This 229-nucleotide ribosomal RNA is filed under the name uncultured bacterium. RNAcentral's name for it is "partial 16S ribosomal RNA". It matches the Rfam family "Bacterial small subunit ribosomal RNA", at positions 91 to 334 of the family's 1533-position model. The record is from RNAcentral.